This 85-nucleotide transfer RNA is filed under the name bacterium. RNAcentral's name for it is "tRNA-Tyr". It matches the Rfam family "tRNA". From Rfam's summary of the family: Transfer RNA (tRNA) molecules are approximately 80 nucleotides in length. Their secondary structure includes four short double-helical elements and three loops (D, anti-codon, and T loops). The record is from RNAcentral.
GGGGAGGUACCGAAGUGGUCAAACGGGGCAGACUGUAAAUCUGUUGGCUAUGCCUUCGAAGGUUCGAACCCUUCCCUCCCCACCA